RNAcentral lists this non-coding RNA (46 nucleotides) under Trichobilharzia regenti. Lineage: Eukaryota; Metazoa; Platyhelminthes; Trematoda; Strigeidida; Schistosomatidae. The record is from RNAcentral.
GCACUGAUGAAGAGUCCCAAACUAGGACGAAACAGCUGUCCAGUGC